Molecule: long non-coding RNA, 765 nt
Organism: Cyprinus carpio carpio
Lineage: Eukaryota; Metazoa; Chordata; Actinopteri; Cypriniformes; Cyprinidae
Source: Ensembl
AGGAUGGCAUAUAUGUAACGGCAGAUUCCAGCUUCAAUUACAAUGUGAUCUUAGUUUCCCUCUUAAAUGAUUGAAUCGUUAGAAGGUCAGCCCUCCUAGGGGAACGUCCCUGGCCCGUCCCUUGACCCCUGUCAGAAAGAUGGUUGUGUCUGACACAUCUGCUGCUCUGAAGGAGAGGAAGUCGAAGUCGGCAGACUCCAAGCCUCUCCAAGGGUCUAAACAACAGUAGAAAUCCGAGAACUGACCUGUGAAAACUCCUUUAUUUUGCCCUACGCUGGAGCCAACAGAGGCUUUGAUGGAAGUCCUUUCCCUGUCACCUGGAGAGAGGCUGAGCCACUCUGUCUAUAUGGCACUUAACCACGGCUCUCAGACAAACACAGAGGAUGCAGCAUGGACACGGAACGUCCGUCAUGGCCGACUAACAGAAAAUAGACCCCUCAAGCCCUAUUACUCUCUCCUCUGUCAGGAAGGAGUUAACCCCGCAAAGACUGAACAUUAGGGUCAAAUGUUAACAGAGCAUGUAAUUAAUGUCAUGAGUCCCCUUGACCAAUGAGGCGGACUCGCGCUGUCUGUUCUCAACUAGCCAACAGGAUCAGAGCGUGCAGGAAUUCAUUCAGAUCUCAUAAUCAAUAAGUAACCCUUAUCAAAGGCAGAUUGUAUCCUACCUGCUGUUUCAGAGUAAGUAAACAGGAUUAGCAGCUGUGGCAGAGCACCUUCCGCUUCCAAUCUUUUUUUACAUGCAAGAAAACACAUGCAAUGCAAAAG